AGAGUUUGAUCCUGGCUCAGGACGAACGCUGGCGGCGUGCCUAAUACAUGCAAGUCGAACGCUUCUUUUUCCACCGGAGCUUGCUCCACCGGAAAAAGAAGAGUGGCGAACGGGUGAGUAACACGUGGGUAACCUGCCCAUCAGAAGGGGAUAACACUUGGAAACAGGUGCUAAUACCGUAUAACAAUCAAAACCGCAUGGUUUUGAUUUGAAAGGCGCUUUCGGGUGUCGCUGAUGGAUGGACCCGCGGUGCAUUAGCUAGUUGGUGAGGUAACGGCUCACCAAGGCCACGAUGCAUAGCCGACCUGAGAGGGUGAUCGGCCACAUUGGGACUGAGACACGGCCCAAACUCCUACGGGAGGCAGCAGUAGGGAAUCUUCGGCAAUGGACGAAAGUCUGACCGAGCAACGCCGCGUGAGUGAAGAAGGUUUUCGGAUCGUAAAACUCUGUUGUUAGAGAAGAACAAGGAUGAGAGUAACUGUUCAUCCCUUGACGGUAUCUAACCAGAAAGCCACGGCUAACUACGUGCCAGCAGCCGCGGUAAUACGUAGGUGGCAAGCGUUGUCCGGAUUUAUUGGGCGUAAAGCGAGCGCAGGUGGUUUCUUAAGUCUGAUGUGAAAGCCCCCGGCUCAACCGGGGAGGGUCAUUGGAAACUGGGAGACUUGAGUGCAGAAGAGGAGAGUGGAAUUCCAUGUGUAGCGGUGAAAUGCGUAGAUAUAUGGAGGAACACCAGUGGCGAAGGCGGCUCUCUGGUCUGUAACUGACGCUGAGGCUCGAAAGCGUGGGGAGCAAACAGGAUUAGAUACCCUGGUAGUCCACGCCGUAAACGAUGAGUGCUAAGUGGUGGAGGGUUUCCGCCCUUCAGUGCUGCAGCUAACGCAUUAAGCACUCCGCCUGGGGAGUACGACCGCAAGGUUGAAACUCAAAGGAAUUGACGGGGGCCC
RNAcentral lists this ribosomal RNA (944 nucleotides) under Enterococcus faecium. RNAcentral describes it as "bacterial SSU rRNA". It matches the Rfam family "Bacterial small subunit ribosomal RNA", at positions 8 to 922 of the family's 1533-position model. Lineage: Bacteria; Bacillati; Bacillota; Bacilli; Lactobacillales; Enterococcaceae. The record is from RNAcentral.